UCCCUGGAGGACUAGUGGUUAGGCAUCGGUGCUCUCGCUGCCGCAGCCCGGGUUUGAUUCCCGGCCAGGGAA
RNAcentral lists this transfer RNA (72 nucleotides) under Pangasianodon hypophthalmus (striped catfish). RNAcentral's name for it is "tRNA-Glu". Lineage: Eukaryota; Metazoa; Chordata; Actinopteri; Siluriformes; Pangasiidae. The record is from RNAcentral.